GAUGAACGCUGGCGGCGUGCCUAAUACAUGCAAGUCGAGCGAACAGAUGAGGAGCUUGCUCCUCUUACGUUAGCGGCUGACGGGUGUGUAACACGUGGAUAACCUUCCUUUUAUACUUGGAUAACUUCGGGAAACCUGUGCUCAUACCGGCUAAUAUAUUGUACCGCAUGGUUCAAUAGUUUAAGACGUUUUUUCUGUCUCUUUUAGAUUGAUCCCCGCCGCAUUAGCUAGUUGGUAAGGUAACGGCUUACCAAGGCAACGAUGCGUAGCCGACCUGAGAGGGUGAGCGGCCACACUGGAACUGAGACACGGUACAGACUACUACGGGAGGCAGCAGUAGGGAAUAUUCCGCAAUGGGCGAAAGCAUGACGGAGCAAAGCCGCGUGAGUGAUGAAGGACUUCGGAUCGUAAAACUCUGUUAUUAGGGAAGAAAAAAUGUGUAAGUAAAUAUGCACGUCAUGACGGUACCUAAACAGAAAGCCACGGCUAACUACGUG
RNAcentral lists this ribosomal RNA (497 nucleotides) under uncultured bacterium. RNAcentral describes it as "partial 16S ribosomal RNA". It matches the Rfam family "Bacterial small subunit ribosomal RNA", at positions 28 to 507 of the family's 1533-position model. The record is from RNAcentral.